Molecule: ribosomal RNA, 449 nt
Filed under: uncultured bacterium
Lineage: Bacteria
Description: partial 16S ribosomal RNA
Rfam family: Bacterial small subunit ribosomal RNA
Source: RNAcentral
UCCAGACUCCUACGGGAGGCAGCAGUGGGGAAUAUUGCACAAUGGGGGAAACCCUGAUGCAGCGACGCCGCGUGAGCGAAGAAGUAUUUCGGUAUGUAAAGCUCUAUCAGCAGGGAAGAAAAAAAUGACGGUACCUGAGUAAGAAGCACCGGCUAAAUACGUGCCAGCAGCCGCGGUAAUACGUAUGGUGCAAGCGUUAUCCGGAUUUACUGGGUGUAAAGGGAGCGUAGGCGGCGCGUUAAGUCUGAUGUGAAAACCCGAGGCUCAACCACGGGAGUGCAUUGGAAACUGGCGGGCUGGAGUGCCGGAGAGGUAAGCGGAAUUCCUAGUGUAGCGGUGAAAUGCGUAGAUAUUAGGAGGAACACCAGUGGCGAAGGCGGCUUACUGGACGGCAACUGACGCUGAGGCUCGAAAGCGUGGGGAGCAAACAGGAUUAGAUACCCCGGUAA